Molecule: long non-coding RNA, 526 nt
Organism: Episyrphus balteatus (marmalade hoverfly)
Lineage: Eukaryota; Metazoa; Arthropoda; Insecta; Diptera; Syrphidae
Exons: 2
Source: RefSeq, a predicted model, not a curated record
UGUAGAAAAAAAAAAAUAACUCGCUUCAUUUAUAAUCAUUUUGGCAUAUGAGAGACAAAAUUUGCAAGCCGGCUUUUGCCUUUUGUCGUCUGAAAAAAAAUUCUAUCAUGUGCAAGGUUAUCAACGCCAGAUGCAGCCGGUAUAUGACGAUGCGUGGAUGAAAUAUGAAUAUGAUGAUUGUGAUUAGGAUCAUAUUUAUAAUAUAACGUUUCCCUCGUUUCAAACAUGGUAACGAUUCGUAAAAACUUCGAACUGCAGCAUACAAUCAGAUUUGAUUUUAUGAUGAUAGAGAAUGCCCAAAAACUGAGUCUUUCUGACUGUCUCCAUCUCAAGCUCUAUCCCAAACCAAACUUGGUUUUUAUGUGAAUUGGGAGAUUAAAGAAAGGGAUAAUUGAAAUUUUAUUUUUAGUACUAAAAUUAACGGUUAAUGGACUUGCCAUUAUUUAUAAAAAAAAAACUAUUGAAAAAAGCAGUGCUUCGAAAAAUAUUUUAAGUAAAAAAUUAAACAAGGACACAAAAAGUUCAA